GAUGAACGCUGGCGGCGUGCCUAAUACAUGCAAGUCGAGCGAACAGACCAGGAGCUUGCUCCUCUGACGUUAGCGGCGGACGGGUGAGUAACACGUGGAUAACCUACCUAUAAGACUGGGAUAACUUCGGGAAACCGGAGCUAAUACCGGAUAAUAUAUUGAACUGCAUGGUUCAAUAGUUGAAGACGGUUUUUCUUUCACUUAUAGAUGGAUACGGGCCGCAUUAUCUACUUGGUAAGGUGACGGGUUACCAAGGCAACGAGGGGUAGCCGACCUGAGGGGGAGAUCGGCCACACUGGAACUGAGACACGGUCCCGACUCCGACGGGAGGAAGCGGUAGGGAUUCUUCCGCAAUGGGUGAAAGCGGAACGGAGCAACGCCGCGGGAGGGAUGAAGGUCUUCGGAUCGGAGAGCUCUGUUAUUAGGGAAGAAGAAAUGUGUAAGUACCUGUGCACGUCUUGACGGUACCGGAUCAGAAAGCCACGGCUAACUACGUG
RNAcentral lists this ribosomal RNA (497 nucleotides) under uncultured bacterium. RNAcentral's name for it is "partial 16S ribosomal RNA". It matches the Rfam family "Bacterial small subunit ribosomal RNA", at positions 28 to 507 of the family's 1533-position model. The record is from RNAcentral.